This 618-nucleotide unclassified non-coding RNA is filed under the name Zea mays. Its description in RNAcentral is "misc RNA Zm00001eb311370". The record is from RNAcentral. Lineage: Eukaryota; Viridiplantae; Streptophyta; Magnoliopsida; Poales; Poaceae.
UUGGCGAACUUCCCUGACCAAUCAAAGCGUGAUCCGGCCCAGAGGAGAUUCCAAAGUUUCGUGUUAUUUGAUGACGUUGAGAGCGAUGACUUACCAAAAUUUAAGAGUAUCGUAGCCAGAAUCGUUGUUAAGUUCCCUAGACGUCAUGACAGCCAACAUUUUAUUCUACAAGACAUCACUGGGUCAAAAAUAGAAGCAAUUUCAUACCGCGAUAAUGUCCAAAGAUUUGACACCUUACUCCAACAAGGAUCUACAUAUACAUUAUAUGGAGUGGUGUUAUAUGUAAGCUGGGGGCUGUAUCUAUUUCGGAAUUUUGGACAUAGGCUAGAAUUGACCUUGGCAACUCGGACUGUUGUGGAACCAUUCCACUUGCCAAUUCAGUUCCCGCCUUAUCCAAAACAUCUUAUGCCAUUUCAUGAGGUCCUCCAACAACCUCAUAAGAGGUUUAUAGAUGUAAUAGGAAUUGUCAUUCAUUUGGCGCCGUUAGAGCACAUCGGUGGAAGGCCGUACAGAGAGGCCAUACUAAUGGAUUCCAGGUGGGAUAUAAUCGUCGUGGGUAUAUGGCCUGAACUGUUGCAAAGAAAUGCUCUACGGAUGCUUGCAAACCUCGGACCAUAG